AGAGUUUGAUCCUGGCUCAGGACGAACGCUGGCGGCACGCUUAACACAUGCAAGUCGAACGAGAGAAGAGGAGCUUGCUUUUCUGAUCUAGUGGCGGACGGGUGAGUAACACGUGAGCAAUCUGCCUUUCAGAGGGGGAUACCGAUUGGAAACGAUCGUUAAUACCGCAUAACAUAAUUGAACCGCAUGAUUUGAUUAUCAAAGAUUUAUCGCUGAAAGAUGAGCUCGCGUCUGAUUAGCUAGUUGGUAAGGUAACGGCUUACCAAGGCGACGAUCAGUAGCCGGACUGAGAGGUUGAUCGGCCACAUUGGGACUGAGACACGGCCCAGACUCCUACGGGAGGCAGCAGUGGGGAAUAUUGCACAAUGGAGGAAACUCUGAUGCAGCGAUGCCGCGUGAGGGAAGAAGGUUUUAGGAUUGUAAACCUCUGUCUUCAGGGACGAAAAAAGACGGUACCUGAGGAGGAAGCUCCGGCUAACUACGUGCCAGCAGCCGCGGUAAUACGUAGGGAGCGAGCGUUGUCCGGAAUUACUGGGUGUAAAGGGAGCGUAGGCGGGAUCGCAAGUCAGAUGUGAAAACUAUGGGCUUAACCCAUAAACUGCAUUUGAAACUGUGGUUCUUGAGUGAAGUAGAGGUAAGCGGAAUUCCUAGUGUAGCGGUGAAAUGCGUAGAUAUUAGGAGGAACAUCAGUGGCGAAGGCGGCUUACUGGGCUUUAACUGACGCUGAGGCUCGAAAGCGUGGGGAGCAAACAGGAUUAGAUACCCUGGUAGUCCACGCCGUAAACGAUGAUUACUAGGUGUGGGGGGACUGACCCCUUCCGUGCCGCAGCAAACGCAAUAAGUAAUCCACCUGGGGAGUACGACCGCAAGGUUGAAACUCAAAGGAAUUGACGGGGGCCCGCACAAGCAGUGGAGUAUGUGGAUUAAUUCGAAGCAACGCGAAGAACCUUACCAGGUCUUGACAUCGUAUGCAUAGCUCAGAGAUGAGUGAAAUCUCUUCGGAGACAUAUAGACAGGUGGUGCAUGGUUGUCGUCAGCUCGUGUCGUGAGGUGUUGGGUUAAGUCCCGCAACGAGCGCAACCCUUACUGUUAGUUGCUACGCAAGAGCACUCUAGCAGGACUGCCGUUGACAAAACGGAGGAAGGUGGGGAUGACGUCAAAUCAUCAUGCCCCUUAUGACCUGGGCCUCACACGUACUACAAUGGCUGUCAACAGAGGGAAGCAAAGCCGCGAGGUGGAGCGAACCCCUAAAAGCAGUCUUAGUUCGGAUUGUAGGCUGCAACCCGCCUACAUGAAGUCGGAAUUGCUAGUAAUCGCAGAUCAGCAUGCUGCGGUGAAUACGUUCCCGGGCCUUGUACACACCGCCCGUCACGCCAUGGGAGUCGGUAACACCCGAAGCCUGUAGUCUAACCGCAAGGAGGACGCAGUCGGAGGUGGGAUUGAUGACUGGGGUGAAGUCGUAACAAGGUA
RNAcentral lists this ribosomal RNA (1470 nucleotides) under metagenome. RNAcentral describes it as "bacterial SSU rRNA". It matches the Rfam family "Bacterial small subunit ribosomal RNA". The record is from RNAcentral.